Long non-coding RNA from Temnothorax curvispinosus, 1077 nucleotides. RefSeq lists it as uncharacterized. The record is from RefSeq and is a predicted model, not a curated record. NCBI's taxonomy places the organism in Eukaryota, Metazoa, Arthropoda, Insecta, Hymenoptera, Formicidae. The transcript is spliced from 4 exons.
AGCCGGCUGGAGCCGGCAACCGCCUUGUCCUCCUUCGUUUCGCGUUUUGUCGAAUAUACAAUUAGCCUACCUCUAUCCGUCGCCCCGUCUCAUCGAAAAGCCGGCAACCGUUUUAUUGCCCUCAUCUUUCGUUUCGUAUUUUGCCAAAGGUUAUUUUGUACAAGUUCUACAAUCCAACUGCAGGAGAAGCAUACAAUGAAGCAUUCACAAAAAAAGUUUUAGAAGAAUCUAUAAAAAAAUAGCUAAGGAGAGCGAAAGAAAGAUCCGAUGCAGAUGAAAAAAAACUUGCAAACCAAGAACGUAUUGAAUAAUCACUAAUUGUAAUAUGUUGACGCCGCUGUGAAAAACGAAGUGAACGUGUUUGAAAAAUUUUGUGGAAACUUGGAUGUUGUAUUCAACAACAUUAGACAUGUGUACAAAGUCUAAAAGCGUUCUUCCCAUUAGAAACCUGCUUACUUUGCGUCAGCCAGAAAACAUUCUUUCUACAAAAUUAUAGCAUUAUUUUUUAGCUAUGUGUCUGUCUCAUUUGAAAAAUCGCGAUUCUACUAUUACUACUACUUUACUCCGUCUAGAGAAUGAACAUAUUUAAAGGGUUGCCGCUUUGUCGCAUAAGUUAAUAUCUUUAAUAUCUUUCAUAUCUUUAAUAUCUUUAAAAUCUAAUCUCAACUGUAUCCGAGAAGCACGUAUAGCGACGUGUAUGCUUUGUAGUUUUACGCACAGAUCUCGUGAUUUUUUCGAUUUGAUUGACGGAUUUCAUCCCAUUUUUUUUUGUUUUUAUAAGAUUAUGAGCUGUAAACGCGAGUAAAUAUACAAUAAUGGAUAUUAAGGGCCUUACGUGAAGAUGGACGAGCAAACGUAUGAGGUAUAGAAAUUUGAUAUUAUAAAGUAUAGCAGCGAAAUUCGAGGGAGGUAGACUGGCGUUAUACGUUAUGUUGCGAAAGAUGUGUCGAAUAGACUUUAUAUAGUUUAUAUAGUUUAUAUAGUUACCAAAGCUUAUUAUGUAGCAUCCAAUUAAUAAAAUAUUGGUUAACAUAAAAAAAUCAUAUUUUUUUAUGAACUAUUGUAUAUUCAACACUU